Molecule: ribosomal RNA, 425 nt
Filed under: uncultured bacterium
Lineage: Bacteria
Description: partial 16S ribosomal RNA
Rfam family: Bacterial small subunit ribosomal RNA
Source: RNAcentral
GUGGGGAAUCUUGCGCAAUGGGCGAAAGCCUGACGCAGCCAUGCCGCGUGAAUGAUGAAGGUCUUAGGAUUGUAAAAUUCUUUCACCGGGGACGAUAAUGACGGUACCCGGAGAAGAAGCUCCGGAUAACUUCGUGCCAGCAGCCGCGGUAAUACGAAGGGGGCUAGCGUUGCUCGGAAUUACUGGGCGUAAAGGGUGCGUAGGCGGACAGCUUAGUCAGAGGUGAAAGCCCAGGGCUCAACAUUGGAAUUGCCUUUGAUACUGGCUGUCUUGAGUUUGGGAGAGGUGAGUGGAACUCCGAGUGUAGAGGUGAUAUUCGUAGAUAUUCGGAAGAACACCAGUGGCGAAGGCGACUCACUGGCCCAAUACUGACGCUGAGGGGCGAAAGCGUGGGGAGCAAACAGGAUUAGAUACCCUGGUAGUCC